RNAcentral lists this long non-coding RNA (5947 nucleotides) under Sus scrofa (pig). RNAcentral describes it as "lncRNA (ENSSSCG00065025752.1)". Lineage: Eukaryota; Metazoa; Chordata; Mammalia; Artiodactyla; Suidae. The record is from RNAcentral.
UGUGACUCACUAAAGCCUCAGAUGAUUGUUCAACCUCUUUAGCAAGAAAAUAUUUUUUAAAAUUAAGGGUUUUACAUGCGCACAUAUGGUCCUCCUAGUUAAUUUGAAAACUGACUCUGGCUGCAGCCGGGACAACGUGGGAUCCUCAACCUGUUGCGCCACUGCGAGAAGACUGGGGAGUAAUUCUAACUCCCGUGACUUCGUCGUGCCUCGAAGUAGAAGUCUAGACAUCUGGAUUUGGACAUCUGGAUUCAUCCCUUGCUGUAUCCUCUAGGUUCUUUAAGGACACCGUCAAAGAUGGUGACCGACGCAGACCCUUGUAAAACGUCACAAGACUGGCAUACUUGUAGGUGAUAAGGACGGAGAAAUAAAACAUAGGAUCUCAGCCCGGCCUUACAGGUAGUUGCCAAAUUCAUGUGUUCGGGGCCAGCCACACCACCCUGUCCCCAGCAGUGUCCCCUUCUCUCUUUCUUGCUGCUCGCUUCUUCUCACUUCAUUUUUAUGUGAUGAGGGCAGGGACCGUGUGCACUUGCCUGUUGUCACGAAUGCCUCAGUCCAGCAUUUCUCACACUCGGAUGUGCACCUGCUGUUCAAGUGCAGAUUCUGAUGUAAGAGCCCAGGGCUGUGGGGUGGCUUGAGAACCCGUACUUCUAACAGGCUCUCAGGUGACCCAGAGCUGAAUCGCCCACCCGUUGGGUACUCACUGGGCUAGAGGCUAGAGCAGUUGUACGUAGUCGUAUGUUUGAUUCCCCAGGCGGGGGCGGGGGAUAAAAUCCUAAUGCCAGAUUGUUCCCCGGGCCAGUAACACCCGAAUUCUUGAGGAUGGACGAGGCAGCGGCUGCUGGUUAGCAGGAGCAGUCAGCUCUCCCGGAAGAGCAGCCCGAUUUAGCAUUUAUGCCUCCUUUUCUUUCCAGCACAGGAUGCUAGUGAACUUGGUGUUGGGAAGAAGUGCUAACUAAUGUUGGGCUCGUCAGCCAGCGCCCCCCUGGACCCGGGCCUUUGCAUUUUCAUCCCCUCCCAGCGGAUGAGCUGUCACUGUGAUUCCCUUUCGAGGCUGACGUGGAGAACCUCUGUUUGAAAGUUUCUGCCUGUUAGUUAGGGAUACAAGUGCUUCUGCUCCUUCUCUCGGCCUUGCAGCCCUGGGCUUUUGUUUCUGCCCGCUCCCCGCCUACCUUGGAAGCCCAUUUUCAUUUUCGGACCAUCUUAGGUGCUGCCCAAAGUCACAACAUCUGGAGCGCAGCCUGGAGCUGAGACGCGGGGGCUCUGCCGUGAGCCUGCUCGGCCCGGCCCCGAGGCUGGGCGCUCUCAUCCGGACCUGCUUUGGUGCAGGAGAGCAGGAUGGCAGCGGCCGGGAGGUUUCGCAUCCAGACUGAGCCAGGGUGAAGGCCUCCGAGCAGCGGCAGUUUCUCCUUCCAGGGGGACCUUCAGCCCCUCCGUCCGCUUUCGGCAGGUGGUGUGUGCAUGGGGAGCACACGUCCCGAGGGCUUGGCUCCGGCUCUGCCAUUGACCGUCCCGUGACCCUGGGCUCUAACUUCUUGCUGAGCCUCCGUUUUCUCUCGGGCAAAAUGCAGGUGCUAAUCAUCCCCACUUCAUGGAUUGCUGGGAUCACAUCUCUGUUGUGGAAAACUUUAGGGUAAACUAAAGUGAGCUAGAGGCAGAACAUCGGGUCUGGGCCGUGUGUCUGCCGAUUGGCUAGUUUAACCUUGAGAAAAACCUCUGCCACUGCCUGCCCGUCUGUUUCCGGUCUCCAAGCCCAGAUCUUUCUCUUCGCAGGCCCCAGACACGCCCCUGGUACAUGGAGAUAUCUCAUACUGGCAAUAAUAUAACAUUUCUUUUAUUUGAUGAUGUUAUUGAAUAAUUUUUUAUUUUUAAUCUAAGCAAACACUUAAGUUUAAAAAAACUAGUAACUAUGAAUCUUAACAUAGAAAUGUUAGCCCCUGCCCGUCUUCCGCCCAGUGCCGAUCCACCACUUCCACUGCUUUUAACUGGUUUAUCUGGAAAUAGCUCUACAUGUCUAAACAGCAUCCUUACUCUACAAGUCUUGAUGAUUUUUAAGUUUUAAUUGUUACCUGUUGACUUCCUAGCAUGGGAAGAAAGGAUUUAACCCUCCCCUCCCGUCAGUCACGGACACAGACACACCCCUCCGCACCCCCCACCCUCCUCUUCCAUCCGUUCUGUAUGCGGAUCGUACGUUUUGGUGGGAUAUUCGGAUGUCACACUGGGUUCACAGUUAAGUCAGAUAACAUGUGUGAUGACACGCAGCUGCACGUCUUUGCGUACACAAAUUGUUUCCCUGAAGGUAAUAAUUGCAUUGCUUUCCUGUUUGCUGAGUGUUCUCCUGGUAUCACUCGUUCGGCCCAGAAUCUUUAUAAAAGUGUCGCAUGUCCUUUCACUGCACCCACACACGUGUGCCAUCUCUCAGCCCCUGGAGCCCAUGUCUCUGGGGGUCCCGCCUCCUUGGUUCCACGCUGGCUGGCCGCUCUCGAGACCCACUGCGUCACCGCAUCCCCGGGCUCCCGGGCCUGGGCUCCGUUCCCGUCCUCCUGGGGAACGCGGCCCCCCCCUCGCUCUGCUGUGGCUUCUCUGCCUCCUGGAUCCCGUGGCUUCUUCCUGCUUGUUUUCCUCCUUCGCUUUGUAGAAGCACGUUGUCCAGUAAUGUCUCCAAAAGAGGAAGGAUGGCUUUUGUUUCUGGAGGGUGCACACCUGAAACGGUCUUUAUUCCACGCUUCCAUGUGGUUGAUUAUUUGAUUGGACACAGAAUUACCAAUACAGCUCAGAAACAUUUUUUCUCCCGAUUUUAAACCAUUAUGCCAUUGCUGUUAUUGUCAGGUGUGCUUCGGAUUUUCAGUACUUUCUAGGCGAACUGUUUUUUGUUUUAUUUUUUUUUUAUCACUGUUAACUUUAAACGUGUUCUCUCUAACUCUAGUGUCUUGAAACUUCACAGACAGAUAUUUUGAUGUAGGUCUUUUUCCUUUACUGUUCUACAUUGCCAGGGGACCCUUUCAAACUGGAAACUUAUCUUUCUCUUUUUACAUAGUUAAAAUAAUUCUGUUCAAAUAAUAUUUUCUAAUAUACUCUGAAAUCAUGAGUGUAUUUUUUUUUUUUUGUCUUUUUAGGGCCACACCCACGGCAUAUGGAGGUUCCCAGGCUAGAUCUAAUCAGAGCUGCAGCUGCCUGCUGAUGCCACAGCCACAGCAAAGACAGAUCCAAUCCGUGUCUGCGACCUGCACCACAGCUCAUGGCAACGUGGGAUCCUUAACCCACUGAGCAAGGCCAGGGAUUGGGCCCGAAACAUCAUGGUUCCUAGUCGGAUUCGUUUCCGCUGUGCCAGGACGGGAACUCCUGAAAUCAUGAGUCUAGAAGUCAAUUUCAGAUUUGUAUUAUUUCUUUUUUAAUUUAAAUAUAGUUGAUUUACAGUGUUAUGUUAGUUUCAGAUGUAUAAUAUAGUCAUUCAAUUUUUUAUAGCUUACACACCAUUUAAAGUUAUUAUAAAAUAGUGGCUACAUUCCCUGUACGGUACCUUACACGCAUGUAUAUUCUUAGUCGUAUUUUAAAUUUCUUAUUAAAAUUACUCCUUAACAUUUUAGAAGCUGGAGUUAGAAUAGGAAAUGUAUUACUCAGUACACAGUGAGACACUGAAUUUUCUGUGGCAAACUUCUCUAACCUGUUAUAAAACAAGGUCCUUGAUAGGGUGAAGGAUAAAGAAACCAGAAUCCCCGGCGUAGGUCACGUGAUGAAGAAGGGUCAUCCUGUUUUCUCACACAGACAAGUAGAUGGGAAAUCUCUUUACAAAUAAACAGAGCAGGGAAUGAGCAGAUUAAAUGUUUCUCAGGUGAGACAGAGCGUCCAGUAACAGAGUGUCACGGGGUGGCUUUCUCAGUUCCUUGGUACAAUAUACCCUUUUAGUGAUGAAUAGGCAUCGUGCAUUCCAACAUAGCCAAAUGACUAGCGUUGCAUUGGAAUUGGAAUAAAUGUAAUUUUAAGAAUUCAAGACACCAGAGUUAUAGAGAAUAGGUUUAAAGUCUACAGUGAUUAAGAAAACAAAAUAAACAUAAAACAGUUCACAUAAGAAUUAUUGAAAAUCAGAGUAACAAAUGUAAUUUGGAUAUUACUAUACAAAUUAUUUAUUAGUGUCAGGUUUAUGAUUUCUGUCUAGACCUAUAAAAGAACAGUUCUCAUGCAAUGGGAAAGACAAGUUAAAGAUGCGUAUAUUAGCAUCCACUUCAGCUAAUUAUGCUCAUGAAGUCAGUUGUUCCAUGAAAGGCAACCUCGUUUAUUGGACAUUUUUAGGAAAUGAUCAAUUCCUCAGAGACGUUGAUGUACACAACUUUAUUUUCAUUCUACCUGUUUUUGAUUAAAAUAUUCCUCAAAGAAUAUAUUUAUUUGGCUAACUUAGAACAGGCCCAGGCGUUUAGAGGAUUCUGCUGAGUGUUUGUUUAUUCCGUCAUUUACUUAGUCAACAAGUAUUGUGUUAUUACUCUUUCCCAGUAAGUCAGGGCCGUCAUUCCUCAUUCCUCAUUGUGUUAAACCUCAGGCGGUUUUGCCCUCGGGCACCUUGAAGCUGUGCCGUGCACUUGGCCUCAAAUACAAGGCUUUGAGAAAAUUAUGCUUUUUGAGCAAAAGCUCCUGUGACUCAGUGAGGAAAAGCAAAACAACUCAAUGGGAAAAAUACAUGAAUAGGCAUUUCACAGAAAAGGAAUAACAAAUGCUCAUAAACAUAUGGAAAGAUUCUCCGUUUCUUGAUGAUCAGAGACACAAGUGAAAACCACACUGAGUUUCCACUGUACACGCUGCUGUGGCCAAGCGUUAUGAGGAAGUGGAGCCGUGGGACUCUUCUCCACCGAUAGCAGAGGCAUCAGCUGUGUCCUUCCGUGGAAGACAAUUCGGGUAUGAGCCAAUAAGCUGAGUAACGCACAUCCCUGCUACCCGGUGAGCCCAUCCCUCGGCGUGAACUCCAAGAAAGACCUUACAGCGGCAGAGGAGGUGGAUGUAAGAAUGUUCUGACAGUACAGCCUGUCAAGAAAAACUGCAGCCACCUAAAUACGUGCUGCAGUGAAGAGAGAUGGACUGGGUACACUCCUACCUGGAAUGCCAUCCAGCAGUGAGGAGGAGUACGUUAUCACUGCUUGCAUCGAUGUGACUGGACGUCUUAAACAAUAUUGAGGAAAAAAGGGACGUCUCAGAAGGGGACCUGCAAGUUCCACUCAGUCUAUAUAAGGGUAGAAAUCUGGCUUAACUGCAUGUAUUUUGUAGGGACAUAGAAAACUUGAUCCAACUGUAAAGGAAAACACCACACAAAAAUGGAGAUCAACACGUUACUCAGAGAGUGUUUACGGAGGAGGGCAGGUAAGGGCUGUGAUGACAGGAGGAGGCGGAGAGGGACCCAAGGCAUGGGGUCAUGUUCUGCCCCUUCAGCAUCGUCUCAUCCAACCAGCGCUUCCUAAAGGCCUGCGAAGCGCCAAGCACUGCCGUAGCACGUAGGGUACAAACUCUUCAAGAGAACAUAUUCCGCAGGAAGCGAAAAAAUGGAUGGAGUAAAUCAUUAACUUAUUUUAGUUUCAAAAGGUGAUAAGUUCUAUGGAAAAAAUGGGAGUUAAGACAGCUUGGUGUGUGUGGAUGGUUUGCAGAAUUAAAUGAGAUGAUGAGGGUACCUUCUUUGAGAAGGAGCUAUUUGAAUCUAGAUUUGAAAGAGAUACGGAGUAAGCCACACGGCUACCUGGGUGAGUGAAAUUUAGGCAGAGGGACCAGCCAGUGCAAUGGUCUCAUUAUGGUGAUGUGUUUGCCAUGUUUGGGGAGACAUGGGGAGGGCACCGCAGCUGACAAUGAGCAGCAUGGUCAGAGAGGUGGAUGCACCAGCAGGGCUGGACAGGGCAUGACAUGCUAGGUCGGGUAUUGGCAGCGUCCCUCUGCAAAGAGGCAGAUGAUAAAUAUUUUAGGCUUUACGGGC